Molecule: ribosomal RNA, 256 nt
Filed under: uncultured bacterium
Lineage: Bacteria
Description: partial 16S ribosomal RNA
Rfam family: Bacterial small subunit ribosomal RNA
Source: RNAcentral
UACGAAGGGGGCUAGCGUUGCUCGGAAUCACUGGGCGUAAAGCGCACGUAGGCGGUUUCUUAAGUCAGGGGUGAAAUCCUGGAGCUCAACUCCAGAACUGCCUUUGAUACUGGGAGACUUGGAGUCCGGGAGAGGUGAGUGGAACUGCGAGUGUAGAGGUGAAAUUCGUAGAUAUUCCGCAAGAACACCAGUGGCGAAGGCGGCUCACUGGCCCGGUACUGACGCUGAGGUGCGAAAGCGUGGGGAGCAAACAGGG